Passer domesticus (house sparrow) is the source of this 358-nucleotide long non-coding RNA. RefSeq lists it as uncharacterized. NCBI's taxonomy places the organism in Eukaryota, Metazoa, Chordata, Aves, Passeriformes, Passeridae. The record is from RefSeq and is a predicted model, not a curated record. The transcript is spliced from 2 exons.
UAACCCCUACUUCCCUUUGGUACUUGGGUGCUCCGCAGUUGCCAACCAUGAUUUUGCCAACUGGGUUGAGACAUUUCAGUGGGACAAAUCACUCUGUUUAUUCCCUGCCAUCCUCACGAGUUUACAGCCAGAACCUCCAUUGCUUUCAGCCUGAAAUUUUCCUUUGCUUUCCUGCAAAUCCUUGGACUUGUGUCAUAAGGUGCACCAAGAUAUUUCACCAAGAGAGAAAACAUCUGACAAAAGGUGUCCAUAUGACUGCAACGGGGAAUCUGGCCAGCUCACAGAAACUUCCUCUUCUCCAAGAACUGCAUACUGAGGCAAAUUCCCAGCUUAUUAAAAAAUAGUUGUGUUAUUUUGC